This 492-nucleotide ribosomal RNA is filed under the name uncultured bacterium. RNAcentral's name for it is "partial 16S ribosomal RNA". It matches the Rfam family "Bacterial small subunit ribosomal RNA", at positions 29 to 507 of the family's 1533-position model. The record is from RNAcentral.
ACGAACGCUGGCGGCGUGCUUCACACCUGCAAGUCGAACGGUGAAGCGCCUUCCUUUUUGGUGGGUGUGGAUGAGUGGCGAACGGGUGAGUAACACGUGAGUAACCUGCCCCCUUCUUCUGGAUACCGCAUGAAAGUGUGGCUAAUACGGGAUAUUCUGGGUCUGUCGCAUGAUGGGUCUGGGAAAGAUAUUGUUUCGGUGGGGGAUGGGCUCGCGGCCUAUCAGCUUGUUGGUGGGGUGAUGGCCUACCAAGGCGGUGACGGGUAGCCGGCCUGAGAGGGUGGACGGUCACACUGGGACUGAGACACGGCCCAGACUCCUACGGGAGGCAGCAGUGGGGAAUAUUGCACAAUGGGCGCAAGCCUGAUGCAGCGACGCCGCGUGAGGGAUGGAGGCCUUCGGGUUGUGAACCUCUUUCGCCAGUGAAGCAGGCCUGCCUCGUUUGUGGGUGGGUUGACGGUAGCUGGAUAAGAAGCGCCGGCUAACUACGUG